Molecule: long non-coding RNA, 371 nt
Organism: Gossypium raimondii (Peruvian cotton)
Lineage: Eukaryota; Viridiplantae; Streptophyta; Magnoliopsida; Malvales; Malvaceae
Exons: 2
Source: RefSeq, a predicted model, not a curated record
UUCUUCAAAUUUGGUUGCAAUGUCCUUAUUUGCUUUCUUGCUAUGCCUAUUUAUGCAUGGUUUCUGUUUUUCUUUUUUUAGAAGAACACAAUAUAUGAUUGGCCAUGGUUUCUGUUUACAGCUAAAGAUCAACAAAAUAAGGCUACAAACAGUUGGUCAAUGAACGGAAGAAAUAAAGUUGGAGCAGAUAGACCAUUAAGAUUGUCAGACAUUAAGGAAAAUAUCAAUUGUCUGCUCGACACAUAGAGACAGUAAUUUCUUCUUCUGCACUAGUUCUUUUUGUUCAAAAUAUUUGGUUAAAAGUUUCUUAACUUUGACAUGUAAUUUACCCUACUAUCCUUUUAUCCUAGCUACCAUCUUCCUCUUGCUUU